Molecule: long non-coding RNA, 150 nt
Organism: Carcharodon carcharias (great white shark)
Lineage: Eukaryota; Metazoa; Chordata; Chondrichthyes; Lamniformes; Lamnidae
Exons: 3
Source: RefSeq, a predicted model, not a curated record
AGGGAAUUCAAGGACUAAGCGGAGAAAAUGGAGUUCCUGGCCUGAAAGGACAAAAGGGAUUAAUGGGAGAUCCUGGACUUUCUGGGCCACUUGGGGAUCAGGGGAAGAAGGGAAAACCAGGAUCUGAGGGUUUACCAGGAUUGCGAGGGC